GGGGAUUUGGCUCUUAUUGCAAAGAGAAAGAGGAGGGAGGCGGAGUCUUCUGAGUUUCUCCGGAUUUCCACUUUAGGUGGCUACAGAGUCUGGGUGCUGGACUGACUUUAGAGGGCGUGCUCGUCCUCUUUGCUCUCCGCGGCGACGUGGCCGUCCAUGUCGGGCCACAGAUCCAUAUUCCUGCGCAGCGAGACAAUGAUGGGAGCCAGAGAGGUCUUGGCCAGCUGAGACGGGUGGUUGAUGGUGUCGGCGUCCAGGGCCACCAACUGCAGUGUGCGG
This is a long non-coding RNA of Hippocampus comes (tiger tail seahorse), 279 nucleotides long. RefSeq lists it as uncharacterized. NCBI's taxonomy places the organism in Eukaryota, Metazoa, Chordata, Actinopteri, Syngnathiformes, Syngnathidae. The transcript is spliced from 3 exons. The record is from RefSeq and is a predicted model, not a curated record.